GAUGAACGCUGGCGGCGUGCCUAAUACAUGCAAGUCGAGCGAACAGACGAGGAGCUUGCUCCUCUGACGUUAGCGGCGGACGGGUGAGUAACACGUGGAUAACCUACCUAUAAGACUGGGAUAACUUCGGGAAACCGGAGCUAAUACCGGAUAAUAUAUUGAACCGCAUGGUUCAAAGGUGAAAGACGGUUUUGCUGUCACUUAUAGAUGGAUCCGCGCCGCAUUAGCUAGUUGGUAAGGUAACGGCUUACCAAGGCAACGAUGCGUAGCCGACCUGAGAGGGUGAUCGGCCACACUGGAACUGAGGCACGGUCCAGACUCCUACGGGAGGCAGCAGUAGGGAAUCUUCCGCAAUGGGCGAAAGCCUGACGGAGCAACGCCGCGUGAGUGAUGAAGGUCUUCGGAUCGUAAAACUCUGUUAUUAGGGAAGAACAAAUGUGUAAGUAACUAUGCACGUCUUGACGGUACCUAAUCAGAAAGCCACGGCUAACUACGUG
This 497-nucleotide ribosomal RNA is filed under the name uncultured bacterium. RNAcentral's name for it is "partial 16S ribosomal RNA". It matches the Rfam family "Bacterial small subunit ribosomal RNA", at positions 28 to 507 of the family's 1533-position model. The record is from RNAcentral.